CUUAAUGUUUCCACCAGGACAACAAGCCCAAACUGGGACAGACGGACACCUCGAGAGAGCAGCGUACCUUGGGACUCCUGUUUUUGCCAUCAUUCCUUGGCUCGAUCUACCAACUGACUCUUUCUCAAACCAGAUGCAAAUCUCUUUGACUCCUGAUGGUAUAAACUGUGGAUCUGGAGGGAUGCUGGAAAUGGUAAACACUCCUGAGAUAUCUAGAGAAGUUGAAGCAAAUAAUGAUGACGGAGCAUCGCUUCCAGUCUAAGCAGGUCUGCAGUGCCAACUCCACCUUUGGUCAAGUUGUCAUGUCGGCAUGGACCUGUUUCUGGGUCCUAUCUUUUGUGCUGUUGUGUGGUCUCCUGAAGCCAUAAAGCGAAGAGCAGAUAUGAAUUUUGUUUUCCUUUAAUAACGCAAAAUCACUGGCACUAAGUGAAGGACCU
RNAcentral lists this long non-coding RNA (437 nucleotides) under Equus caballus (horse). RNAcentral's name for it is "lncRNA (ENSECAG00000032158.3)". Lineage: Eukaryota; Metazoa; Chordata; Mammalia; Perissodactyla; Equidae. The record is from RNAcentral.